CAAAGGUGAGCCAGUACAGGAUGGACCCGCGUCUGAUUAGCUAGUUGGUAAGGUAACGGCUUACCAAGGCGACGAUCAGUAGCCGACCUGAGAGGGUGAUCGGCCACAUUGGAACUGAGACACGGUCCAAACCCCUACGGGAGGCAGCAGUGGGGAAUAUUGCACAAUGGGCGAAAGCCUGAUGCAGCAACGCCGCGUGAGUGAUGAAGGCCUUCGGGUCGUAAAACUCUGUCCUCAAGGAAGAUAAUGACGGUACUUGAGGAGGAAGCCCCGGCUAACUACGUGCCAGCAGCCGCGGUAAUACGCAGGGGGCUAGCGUUAUCCGGAUUUACUGGGCGUAAAGGGUGCGUAGGCGGUCUUUCAAGUCAGGAGUGAAAGGCUACGGCUCAACCGUAGUAAGCUCUUGAAACUGGGAGACUUGAGUGCAGGAGAGGAGAGUGGAAUUCCUAGUGUAGCGGUGAAAUGCGUAGAUAUUAGGAGGAACACCAGUUGCGAAGGCGGCUCUCUGGACUGUAACUGACGCUGAGGCACGAAAGCGUGGGGAGCAAACAGGAUUAGAUACCCUGGUAGUCCACGCUGUAAACGAUGAGUACUAGGUGUCGGGGGUUACCCCCUUCG
This 618-nucleotide ribosomal RNA is filed under the name uncultured bacterium. RNAcentral describes it as "bacterial SSU rRNA". It matches the Rfam family "Bacterial small subunit ribosomal RNA", at positions 202 to 842 of the family's 1533-position model. The record is from RNAcentral.